GUUGAUGGAGCCGCGCCACAGCGGGUCGCCGGCGCGCGCCUGGCCGUCGGUGGCCAGCAGGGCGUGCGCCUC
RNAcentral lists this non-coding RNA (72 nucleotides) under Streptomyces rubellomurinus subsp. indigoferus. The record is from RNAcentral. Lineage: Bacteria; Bacillati; Actinomycetota; Actinomycetes; Kitasatosporales; Streptomycetaceae.